This is a long non-coding RNA of Egretta garzetta (little egret), 350 nucleotides long. RefSeq lists it as uncharacterized. The record is from RefSeq and is a predicted model, not a curated record. The transcript is spliced from 3 exons. NCBI's taxonomy places the organism in Eukaryota, Metazoa, Chordata, Aves, Pelecaniformes, Ardeidae.
GACGCCGCUCUCUGCCCCCCCACAGUACAGCAACUCGGCGGGGAUCAACUAUGAGACGCUGGGCCCCGAGGAGCUGCGGACGCUGCUCACCACACAAUGCGGGGUCAUCUCUGAGCACACCAAGAAGAUGUGCACCAGGUCCCUGCGGUGUCCCCAGCACACAGAUGAGCAGCGGAGAUCGGUCCGGGUUUACCUCCUCGGUCCCUCUGCGUAAGUGGGCACACACACGCGGGCUCCGAAAGGUCCUGGGCCCACUGUCCCGGGGUGGGGACAGGGACGGGGCUCUGCCACCCGGUGCAAGUGGAGACUGGGGAGGGGCUGCACGGGGUGCCCAGGUCCUGAGCAAGGGU